Molecule: long non-coding RNA, 285 nt
Filed under: Amborella trichopoda
Lineage: Eukaryota; Viridiplantae; Streptophyta; Magnoliopsida; Amborellales; Amborellaceae
Description: long non-coding RNA (ATRI_LNC000912)
Source: RNAcentral
UUUUUUGAUCAUUUUUUUUGUUUUUUUCGGCACGUGAUCUGUUUUGCAGGCUGUAAACAGCUUUAUUCAGCUUUUUCAACGAUUUAAUGGUGGAAAAAUUGGUUGUUUUUUUAUCAAGAAAAAUUCGGGGUUUAGGGUUUUCGCCAUUUCUGAAAUUUCAUGCCAAAUAGGGCAUGAAUCUUUCAAAAUUUGUAGGCAUAUUGAUCUUAAAGCUGUGAAUCAAAAGAUUUUGUUACUAAUUUGUGAUAAUCGUUGAGAAAAACAGACUUUUUUGGAGAUUGAAGG